CGCCCUUUUCGUUGCAAAGGCUCGUGGUGGUACCUGCACUCUUGCAGUCUCUGAUCCUGAUAGUAUCGUAGUCCACCGAGCAAACCACUUGCUCAGCAACGGUUUCAGAUGCUACAACGUGUUCAAGAGCAACUGUGAGGACUUUGCCAUCUAUUGCAAGACGGGACUUCUUGCGGCUGAACAAGGAGUCGUUGGACAAAGCGGCCAGACGAUUUCGAUCAUAGGCGGCCCUCUUGCUGCCGUUCUCUCGACGCCCUUUCGACUGGUCACCACAAAUGUGUAUGGAAUGGCGGUGACAGCGGUUGUAUUCUACUGUGCCAGCCGUUAUGCGGCUGACAUCGGCAAUAGGAUGGAUGUGGUGAAGGUGGAUGUGGAGGAGCUGACAACUGGGCUGGCUACAGGUAGAGUUAGACUGACAGAG
RNAcentral lists this unclassified non-coding RNA (421 nucleotides) under Hevea brasiliensis (rubber tree). The record is from RNAcentral. Lineage: Eukaryota; Viridiplantae; Streptophyta; Magnoliopsida; Malpighiales; Euphorbiaceae.